UACGUAGGGUGCGAGCGUUAAUCGGAAUUACUGGGCGUAAAGGGUGCGCAGGCGGUUUUUUAAGUCAGAUGUGAAAUUCCUGGGCUUAACCUAGGGACUGCAUUUGAGACUGGAAGGCUAGAGUGUGUCAGAGGGGGGUGGAAUUCCACGUGUAGCAGUGAAAUGCGUAGAGAUGUGGAGGAACACCGAUGGCGAAGGCAGCCCCCUGGGAUAACACUGACGCUCAGGCACGAAAGCGUGGGGAGCAAACAGG
Molecule: ribosomal RNA, 253 nt
Filed under: uncultured bacterium
Lineage: Bacteria
Description: partial 16S ribosomal RNA
Rfam family: Bacterial small subunit ribosomal RNA
Source: RNAcentral